Molecule: RNA transcript, 1386 nt
Organism: Triticum aestivum (bread wheat)
Lineage: Eukaryota; Viridiplantae; Streptophyta; Magnoliopsida; Poales; Poaceae
Gene name: aquaporin NIP1-1
Exons: 5
Source: RefSeq, a predicted model, not a curated record
UGCCGAUAAAUAGGCGUCCGGGUCAUCAUCUCAUCCCAGCUAUUGCCCUUCGCACACCUGUCGUCUCUACUCAUCACUUCCCUCUCUUCACUCUGGUUUACUCCUGUGUUUCCGCCGCACAUCCGGGCGAAAUGGCAGGAGGAGGCGAUAACUCCCAGACGAACGGAGGAGCUCAGGAGCAGCGCGCCAUGGAGGAAGGGAGGAAGGAUGACUAUGACCAGGGCUGCGGCCUCGCCAUCUCUCUCCCCUUCGUCCAGAAGAUCAUCGCCGAGAUUUUCGGGACCUACUUCCUCAUCUUCGCGGGGUGCGGCGCGGUGACCAUCAACAAGAGCAAGGGGCAGAUCACGUUCCCCGGCGUGGCCAUCGUGUGGGGCCUCGCCGUGAUGGUGAUGGUGUACUCCGUCGGCCACAUCUCCGGCGCGCACUUCAACCCGGCCGUCACCUUCGCGUUCGCCACCGUGCGCCGCUUCCCGUGGCGGCAGGUGCCGGCGUACGUGCUGGCGCAGAUGCUGGGGGCCACGCUGGCCAGCGGCACGCUCCGGCUCAUGUUCGGCGGGCGCCACGAGCACUUCCCCGGCACGCUCCCCACCGGGUCCGACGUCCAGUCGCUCGUCCUCGAGUUCAUCAUCACCUUCUACCUCAUGUUCGUCAUCUCCGGCGUCGCCACCGACAACAGAGCCAUAGGGGAGCUGGCAGGGCUGGCCGUGGGUGCAACCAUCCUGCUUAAUGUGCUGAUAGCUGGGCCGGUGUCGGGGGCGUCGAUGAACCCGGCGAGGACGGUGGGGCCGGCGUUGAUCGGGAGCGAGUACAGGUCGAUCUGGGUGUACGUGGUGGGGCCGGUGGCCGGAGCCGUGGCCGGGGCGUGGGCGUACAACCUCAUCCGCUUCACCAACAAGCCCCUGCGCGAGAUCACCAAGAGCACCUCCUUCCUCAGGAGCAUGAGCAGGAUGAACUCCGUCUCCGUCUGAUUCCUUAAUUAUUACUAGCAACGUCGUUGUAUUACUACUACAAGGCUAUGUAAUCGCCGUCAUCGUGGCCAUAUAUCCAUGGCGUAUCGAGUGGGCUACACUCUACUCCUCUAGUGGUCUUGGCCUAACUGAACCUGCGAGAGUAUGUAUAUGUGGAAAAAGUUGUGUUUUGGAACCAUGUGUGGUGGAAUUCGCCUGGCGAGAGUGUUUGUCAAGGGUGACGACGGAGACAGGCGCACGUCGGAUUGAUGGUAGUAGCUUAAUUAACUCCGUGCAGUUGUUGUUUUAGCAGGUGAAUGAAUGCACUUUUGUUUCUUCCAAAUGCUAUAGAACUUAGGUUAGUUCUAAGCCGUUUUUGCGUGAACACCUUGUGGCAGCGUGUUUGCUGGAAAGAACAUUGGGAGGAAACAUCUGGACA